GAUCCUGGCUCAGAUUGAACGCUGGCGGCAGGCCUAACACAUGCAAGUCGAGCGGUAGAGAGAAGCUUGCUUCUCUUGAGAGCGGCGGACGGGUGAGUAAUGCCUAGGAAUCUGCCUAGUGGUGGGGGAUAACGUUCGGAAACGGACGCUAAUACCGCAUACGUCCUACGGGAGAAAGCGGGGGACCUUCGGGCCUCGCGCCAUUAGAUGAGCCUAGGUCGGAUUAGCUAGUUGGUGAGGUAAUGGCUCACCAAGGCUACGAUCCGUAACUGGUCUGAGAGGAUGAUCAGUCACACUGGAACUGAGAC
Molecule: ribosomal RNA, 308 nt
Filed under: Pseudomonas anguilliseptica
Lineage: Bacteria; Pseudomonadati; Pseudomonadota; Gammaproteobacteria; Pseudomonadales; Pseudomonadaceae
Description: bacterial SSU rRNA
Rfam family: Bacterial small subunit ribosomal RNA
Source: RNAcentral